UAGCUCAGCUGGUAGAGUGCUUGCCUCGCAUGCAUGAAGCCCUGGGUUCAAUCCCCAG
Molecule: transfer RNA, 58 nt
Filed under: Ictidomys tridecemlineatus (thirteen-lined ground squirrel)
Lineage: Eukaryota; Metazoa; Chordata; Mammalia; Rodentia; Sciuridae
Also listed under: 1 other name
Description: Spermophilus tridecemlineatus (thirteen-lined ground squirrel) tRNA
Rfam family: tRNA
About the family: Transfer RNA (tRNA) molecules are approximately 80 nucleotides in length. Their secondary structure includes four short double-helical elements and three loops (D, anti-codon, and T loops). Further hydrogen bonds mediate the characteristic L-shaped molecular structure. tRNAs have two regions of fundamental functional importance: the anti-codon, which is responsible for specific mRNA codon recognition, and the 3' end, to which the tRNAs corresponding amino acid is attached (by aminoacyl-tRNA synthetases). tRNAs cope with the degeneracy of the genetic code in two manners: having more than one tRNA (with a specific anti-codon) for a particular amino acid; and 'wobble' base-pairing, i.e. permitting non-standard base-pairing at the 3rd anti-codon position.
Source: Rfam by way of RNAcentral